AGUGAACGCUGGCGGUAGGCCUAACACAUGCAAGUCGAACGGCAGCACAGGAGAGCUUGCUCUCUGGGUGGCGAGUGGCGGACGGGUGAGGAAUACAUCGGAAUCUGCCCAGUCGUGGGGGAUAACGUAGGGAAACUUACGCUAAUACCGCAUACGACCUUCGGGUGAAAGAGGGGGAUCGCAAGACCUCUCGCGAUUGGAUGAGCCGAUGUCGGAUUAGCUAGUUGGCGGGGUAAUGGCCCACCAAGGCGACGAUCCGUAGCUGGUCUGAGAGGAUGAUCAGCCACACUGGAACUGAGACACGGUCCAGACUCCUACGGGAGGCAGCAGUGGGGAAUAUUGGACAAUGGGCGCAUGCCUGAUCCAGCCAUACCGCGUGGGUGAAGAAGGCCUUCGGGUUGUAAAGCCCUUUUGUUGGGAAAGAAAUCUUUCAGGCUAAUACCCUGGGAGGAUGACGGUACCCAAAGAAUAAGCACCGGCUAACUUCGUG
Molecule: ribosomal RNA, 490 nt
Filed under: uncultured bacterium
Lineage: Bacteria
Description: partial 16S ribosomal RNA
Rfam family: Bacterial small subunit ribosomal RNA
Source: RNAcentral